AAAACGGCCCUUUUUAGGGCCACGACAUUUUGAAAGAUCAAUACUUU
Regulatory RNA element from Tropilaelaps mercedesae, 47 nucleotides. It matches the Rfam family "Histone 3' UTR stem-loop". From Rfam's summary of the family: The mRNAs of metazoan histone genes lack a poly-A tail. 3' end processing occurs at a site between a highly conserved stem-loop (modelled by this family) and a purine rich region around 20 nts downstream (the histone downstream element, or HDE). The record is from Rfam. NCBI's taxonomy places the organism in Eukaryota, Metazoa, Arthropoda, Arachnida, Mesostigmata, Laelapidae.